Mytilus californianus (California mussel) is the source of this 312-nucleotide long non-coding RNA. RefSeq lists it as uncharacterized. The record is from RefSeq and is a predicted model, not a curated record. Lineage: Eukaryota; Metazoa; Mollusca; Bivalvia; Mytilida; Mytilidae. The transcript has 3 exons.
GUAAGGGGAAAGAACUCAUUAAUCUAAUGCAAACAUGGCGGCGAUCCGGGGAAGAUCUAGUUUUGUGUUUACAAAAAGAUUGUUUGUUCACUGUUGGUCACUUAAGUGGGAAAAACUGAUUGGAUAAAGAUAUUAAACAGUCUUUAUAGUACUGGUGAAAUAGGAGACUCAUCUGAUUGUGGAAGUUUGUGUAGUGGAAAGAAGGAGUUACAUACAGAUGCUGUUUUGAAUCAUAAGAAAUGACUGAUAUUAAUUCAUUUCUUCAAUUCCUCAUUAGCUUCUUCACAAGGAAUAAAUUGUGUAAGGAGUUCU